This 2052-nucleotide long non-coding RNA is filed under the name Homo sapiens (human). RNAcentral describes it as "HSALNT0043298". Lineage: Eukaryota; Metazoa; Chordata; Mammalia; Primates; Hominidae. The record is from RNAcentral.
GUGUUUUCAAAAUGCAACUGCCCACUUAUACACCUGAACUGCCUUCCAUUGCCCUUAGAGACCAAAAGGCCUAGGUCUUGGCCACAGGGCUCCUCUUCCUAUGUGGCAGAUUCUGUGUUCUCUCCCACCACAGGGCUUUGGCACGUGUGUUUCUCUCCACAUCCUUCCUCACCAGUGAACUCUUAGGAGAUCUGCUCAACCAUCACAAGGAAGUCUCCUCUGACCUUCCUGAUCAGUUCCUGGUUGUCUACUGCCUCAUAUCCCUCUUGUUUCUCUGAGUCUUCCAUGAAUAUAAAACCCCGGGGUCUGGAUGAUUUGGGUGAGUAUUUCAUUUCUGGUCCACACAUCUUGAGAUAGCACGUGUAAAUGGGCCUCCAUUUUACAAAGAUGACUGAGCACUGUGAAGGGAUUUGUGGUCCCUGUAGAAAAGGUAUUAUAAAGCAGCACAAGAAAAAUGGAAAAUACAAAAAGCAAAAGAAAAUUCCCUAAACAGCACAACAAAAAGAUUUUCUGUAGCCGUGGAGAGCCCUUCAGCACCCCAAAUCCCACCUGAAUGGCAGUGUUCACACGGCUUAUGAAUAGCAAGCACAGAGCUGGCCAUAGAUAAAACGAUGGCGCAGGGCUCAGAUCUGUCUUCUGCUCCGUUAGCUUCCCAGGUCGGCGCUGGUUUUUCCAGCAGCGUCGGGGCACUUCUUCCACCUCAGGCGCUCAGCGUCCAGUGCUCUGGUUAUUCUUGUUUAGAUAGCAAUGCCUGCUCUCUGCACAGCCCGGACCCUCAAACACACCCAGGAGCACAGAGCCCAGAGGGGCUCGUCAGAAGAUACGGUAGAGCAUGCAGAAUCUCAACAGAUUCUAUAAAGUCACCCAAUUCAGAUGCAUACUUUGCUCACUUAACCUCUAAUCUCAAACACACCCUUUCAGCUCACACAGAGCUAAAAAAAAGGAUGGCUGGAGGUUAGGAAUGUGGGACUGAGGCUGUGAAAAGGGAAGCAGAGAUGCAAUGUUUAAUUUGUGUAUUCUUACUUUCUCCCCUUUUAUUCUUUUUCUUUUGUUUCUUCUUUCCCUUCCUUCCUCCUUCCCUCCCUCUCUCUCUCUUUCUUUCCUUUCUUUCUUUUUCUUUCUUUUUUUCUUUCUUUUUGAUGGGGUCUCACUCCUGUUGCCCAGGCUGGAGUGUAGUGGCAUGAUCAAAACUCACUACAGUUUAUAACUCCUGGACUUUCUGGGACCACAUGUGAGCGCCACCAUGCCCAGCUAAAUUUUUAAAUUACUUUUUGUAGACAUGGGGUCUGACUAUGUUGUUCAGACUGCUCUCAAACUCCUGGGCUCAAGCGAUCUUCCCAUCUCAGCCUCCCAAAGUGCAGGGAUUACAGGCGUGAGACACCGUGCCAGCCCUCCUUUUUUUCAAAUUAGUCUCAAAAAGAUUUUAUUAGUCUAAUUGAAGAACGAACAUUUGGCUUGAUCAUCUUUACUUGAUCUUCGUUUUCUAUUUUAUUAUUUUCUCCUUUCAUAUUUUUGUGACUAUUAUAAUUUGGAUGUUUGUCCCCUCCAAAUCUCAUGUUGAAAUGUGACCUCCAGCAUUAGAGGUGGGCCCAGUGGGAGGUGUUUGGGUCAUGGGGGCGGAUCCCUUAUGAAUGCUUGGUACCAUCCUUGUGGUAAUGAGUGGCUUCUCACUCUAUGAGUUCACGCGAGAUCUGGUUAUUUAAAAGAGCCUGGCACCCCAUCCCUCUCUCUCUUGCUCCCCUUUCUCCAUGUGACAUGUCUGCUCCCCCUUUACCUUCUGCCAUGAUUGGAAGCUUCCUGAGGCCUCACCAGAAGCAGAUGCUGGCACCAUGCUUCCUGUACAGUCUGCAGAACCAUGAGCCAAAGUAAAUCUCUUUUCUUUAUAAAUUAUUCUGCCUCAGGUAUUCCUUUACAGCAAUGCAAAACAGACUCAUGCAAUCACUUUAUUUUUCCUAAUGUUCUAAAUUGGAUGCUUAGCUUAUUAAUUCUGUUUUAAAAUUUUCUAAUAUGGGCAUUUAAAGAUAUACAUUUCCCUCUAUGUACUAUUUUGCU